AGGAUGGUGAUGAUAAUGGUUGCCAACCUUACAGCUUGUGAAGAUUGAAUGAGUUACAUAGAGUGAGUGUGGCCCAUCCAAAGCCAGGACCUUUCUCCUUCGUAGACCCUGAACUCCUGCCUCCAGCUUUGGUCCCCUUUUCUUGUGAGUCUUUCGAAAGCUCUGCUCAAGUCUGAAUUUUGGAAUUGGCUCGUCAGCAGAUGACCCUCUGGGAAAAGCAGCCCCAAAUGCUAGAAUUACCUGUGGCCAUGUUGCACAACUCCAGGAGUCAUGGGUCUCGUACAAGAGGAUCAUUUAUGAGCAGACUUCCAUCUGUACUACUUUCAGUAAGUCUUGAUAUAAUAUUGUCAGGUCCACCUACCUAUCUGAUGAAUCCUUAUAUCCAUUACAGCUGGGAGACUGAGUCUUACUAAAGACCUGGAAGACUCAGGGUCCUGAACAGAAGUUAGCUGAGCAAUGGACUGGAUCUCUAUAACGUACUGUUGACAACACUUCCCUAAGGCUCAUGGGAAGCAAGUCUUGGAUCCACCACACAAAGCUUAAAUUGCACCUGCACAGAGAGGCCCUCCCUAAGCACCAAAUCUAAGCUCUGGAACCCUGUGUUGGGGGUUUGUCUGGUGCUGGGACCCUUUGUUUUUCACGGGAGGCCUCUGUAGCCAAGAUAUCCCUCCC
Molecule: long non-coding RNA, 672 nt
Organism: Myotis myotis
Lineage: Eukaryota; Metazoa; Chordata; Mammalia; Chiroptera; Vespertilionidae
Exons: 6
Source: RefSeq, a predicted model, not a curated record